Polypterus senegalus (gray bichir) is the source of this 353-nucleotide long non-coding RNA. RefSeq lists it as uncharacterized. The transcript has 3 exons. NCBI's taxonomy places the organism in Eukaryota, Metazoa, Chordata, Cladistia, Polypteriformes, Polypteridae. The record is from RefSeq and is a predicted model, not a curated record.
ACGUACCUGAUUAUGUCUGGGAGCUUAUGGAACUACUUGAUGAAAAAGAAGAGAAUGUAAGACGAUCCUUAAACUUUGAGAUAAUUCUAUUAAAAAUGUUUCUGGGGACAGACAGAAAUCGAAAAUCUAACUUGCUGCAUCACUUCUGGGCAGCUUGACCAAGUGGCCUUUCUUCCAGUCUGUUGGGAUCUCCUCAAGCUUCCAGAUUCAAGCAAUCCAUGAAGAAUCCUCACAGGUGACAUUAGUACCAGGCACCAUGAGAACGAUUCAUGAGACUUGUCAGAGAUGCCUGGGGUGGUGACCCGGCCGGGAUGCCCAGGAAGACCGGAAGAGGGCUUACGCCCACCUCAGAC